ACUUCAAUGUGCUCCCUAACUUAAAAAAAAAAAAAAAAUUUCAUGAAAAAUGUUUAAACAAUUCAAAAAGGACAUGAACAUCUAACUCUGAGAUUGACAUAUUAACACCUCAGGGCCUCAAUCAAGUAUUAUAAUGCUAAAAAUCACAACUGCUACACUUUUAAUUGUGGUAAAUAAGUCUCCUCAUGAACAGCUGUAUUUUAAUAGGUACUUUACCAAUUAGAGAAAAAUAUCACAUAAUUUAAGUAACUUUCAAUUUCACUUCCUAUACACUGUAUCAUCUAUAGGCUCAUCAACUGUUGACAACGUGUCAGUUUUUUUAUAGAAAGAACACUGAAACUUCACUCAAGUUUCCAUCAGAUUAAAUGCAAACUAGGAUACAUAGUUUGCUAUUCUCAUUCCAGAGGAAAAACAAAGGGAUGUGGAUUUCAGCAACUUGCUGGACAGAUAAGAACUAUCAACUGAAGGCUCAGUUCUUUCACUACUGCCAUAUGGAAAGAGUUUACCUAAAGUACUCACUAGAGGAUAUUUUAUUUUACUUAGUUGGGAAGUACAUACACAUCACACACAGAGAAAAGGAAAACCAACUAUUGGAAUUUUCUGGUGAUGGUGGUUUUUUAAGCACUGUGGUGAGUUACUAGGUUACCCUCCUCUCCAGAAUCUUAAACCCAGAGAGAAGCCAGCUGUGUGAAUGAACUUACAAAGCCUCUUUAAGGCAAAGUAGCCACUAGAAAAAACAUACUUUUCUUGAAAUCUUUCAAGAAAACUAGGAAAUAUGCAUUCUACACAUUGUUGUGUCUUGUCUGCUCUGUUUCCUUGCCUUUGUGCCACACCUGUUUUCUCUAAUCCCUCCUUUCACUUAACACCAGCUGGCUCACCCCCUGCCACCACACUUAAGUAAUCAGUAGCUGCCUCAAGACCCUAGUGCUUCACAGCAGAACCUGAUUUGAAAAUUAAAUUCACCCUCUUACUUGUUCAAUGAAGUAAAUGAAAAAAAUCCUCAGUGACACUGCCUCCUGCCUGCCAAGAAAGGGUCUCACUAAACUGGUGAUUGAGGUUACAGUGAAAAAAACUGCUUUGACCAUUUGAUAGAAAAUAUUACAUCCUAAAUUUAGAACCAAAAAAACCAUUCAUGGUUUUGGUAAUUUUCAAUUUUUAUUUCCAACUACUGCAGUAAUAAGAUAGCAGUGGUAAUUCUGCACUGAAAGUGGCAACCUUUUAAGUAAACAAGGUUGCAAAUUGUAGUAUUCCAACAAUAUUUUGACCUAUGGAAAUUUUGAUGGGAAAGGAUUAUUAUAAUCAGUUUUAUAAUA
This 1313-nucleotide long non-coding RNA is filed under the name Macaca fascicularis (crab-eating macaque). RNAcentral describes it as "lncRNA (ENSMFAG00000050809.1)". Lineage: Eukaryota; Metazoa; Chordata; Mammalia; Primates; Cercopithecidae. The record is from RNAcentral.